GGUCAGGUAACCUAGCGGCUCAGGCAGCCCAUGCGGUUUGGGUCCCGAUCCAUUGGAUCUGGUCGCUGGUUCAAAUCCAGUCCCGACCA
This is a non-coding RNA of Cronartium quercuum f. sp. fusiforme G11, 89 nucleotides long. Lineage: Eukaryota; Fungi; Basidiomycota; Pucciniomycetes; Pucciniales; Coleosporiaceae. The record is from the annotation of a GenBank genome assembly.